RNAcentral lists this transfer RNA (67 nucleotides) under Marmota monax (woodchuck). RNAcentral's name for it is "tRNA.Ala". The record is from RNAcentral. Lineage: Eukaryota; Metazoa; Chordata; Mammalia; Rodentia; Sciuridae.
GCUGUGGCUCAUUGGUAGAGCACUAGCCUAGCAAGUGGGAGCCCUGGGUUCAAUCCCUAGCCCUGCA